ACAGUGCUUAGGGGGUGAGGUGCUGGCAUCAGAGGCAAUAGGGGUGGACCCAGUGAGUGUGCUUAUCUGGAGUGUAUGUUUACAAACUCUCAACUCUACAUGGAAAGGGACAACUUCUGCCUGGGACAAUGCCACAGGACUACUUACUUGGGCAAUGGGCACAGAUCAUAAUCAGGUGAUCAUUGGCUGAGAUACUGCCAUAAGCCAGAACGGGACCUCAGGUCAGCUGUUCUUCUGUCUCUUUGCCCUUGGCUAGGACUGCAUUGGCUACUGGUCCUGAAGCCCAGGGCAGGGUCCUUGGGGUAGGGACUCCUUCCAAAGGUUUGGCUGCCAGUGUGCAACAUGGGGUCCUUACUAACUAACCUGGACCACUUCCAGUUUUCUCUGGCUUGGGAAAGCAGCCUGUGGGGGUUGGCUUUCUACUCUAGCUGGAAGGCAGGACUCUGUUAGACAGGCACUGCCCUCCCCCAUGUCUCCCCGUGAUUUCUACGACACUGUAAAUAAACCAACACCAGGAUUAAACCCAUGGAGGAUGGUGGUGGGGGACACAGAGCGUGGACUGGAAUUGGAACUGCAGAGCCAAUCAGCAUCUUUCUUUCUCAUGGAAUUCAAAGGAGAAGGCUGAUGAAGACCAGGAUCUCCAGGGGCAGGGUCCCAGGUCCUACCACAGCUGUGCUGGAAUCCUUAGGAAAGAGAGGCAGGGUGACUCUUCCAGUGUCCUUUCCUAAUCACCCAGGGCCACCGACGCUGGCCUAAUCUAUCUGGCUGAAACUGUCUGCCUCAGCUGAGGUUAUUGUGUUUCGCUCUGAGAUGCUUGGAUUUACUGGGUUUAUUGAAUCAUUUUUCACUCUGCAUCUGUGGUAACCAGACUUGGAAAUGAAAAGUCACAUGGUGUCUAAGCAUGAUGGAAGAGGAUUGGGUGAGCGCAAGAGCCUGCCAUCAUGUUGGGGCUAAGAGACAGGGGCAGAGGAGAGCCAUGCUGGUGGUCCUGUGGUCAGAACAGCAUGGCAGGAGACCACGACCAAUGCCCAGCUGCUAGGAGAAGGAGCCUGCCUCGCAGAGCUCUCCACACAUCUGAUUGCAUUCCAUACCUCCUUUGUCAUCUAGCUACAGCAUGCUAUAACUGUAAUAUCUACAAGGCAGAAAAUAAUAGACCUCUUUGUUUAGGGGAUCUUUUAGAACAUUAAAUGGAAAAAUAAGUACGAAA
This is a long non-coding RNA of Mus caroli (Ryukyu mouse), 1207 nucleotides long. RefSeq lists it as uncharacterized. Lineage: Eukaryota; Metazoa; Chordata; Mammalia; Rodentia; Muridae. The record is from RefSeq and is a predicted model, not a curated record.